GAUUAAUUAGUGAAAUUCACAUCAUUAUUUCAUGAUGAAAAUAUUUAGACC
This 51-nucleotide transfer RNA is filed under the name Neoscona nautica (brown sailor spider). Its description in RNAcentral is "tRNA-Glu". Lineage: Eukaryota; Metazoa; Arthropoda; Arachnida; Araneae; Araneidae. The record is from RNAcentral.